Molecule: ribosomal RNA, 301 nt
Filed under: uncultured bacterium
Lineage: Bacteria
Description: partial 16S ribosomal RNA
Rfam family: Bacterial small subunit ribosomal RNA
Source: RNAcentral
CAGUCGCCACGGGAAUACAGAGGGUGCGAGCGUUAAUCGGAUUUACUGGGCGUAAAGCGUGCGUAGGCGGCUUCUUAAGUCGGAUGUGAAAUCCCUGAGCUUAACUUAGGAAUUGCAUUCGAUACUGGGAAGCUAGAGUAUGGGAGAGGAUGGUAGAAUUCCAGGUGUAGCGGUGAAAUGCGUAGAGAUCUGGAGGAAUACCGAUGGCGAAGGCAGCCAUCUGGCCUAAUACUGACGCUAAGGUACGAAAGCAUGGGGAGCAAACAGGAUUAGAUACCCCUGUAGUCCCUGUCUCUUAUAC